GAGUUUGAUCCUGGCUCAGGACGAACGCUGGCGGCGUGCCUAAUACAUGCAAGUGGAACGCACGAGGUACACCGUAGUUUACUACACCGUACUUUGUGAGUCGCGAACGGGCGAGUAACGCGUAGGUAACCUACCUUUUAGCGGGGGAUAACUAUUGGAAACGAUAGCUAAUACCGCAUAAGAUAUCUUACUGCAUGGUAAGAUAUUAAAAGAUGCAAUUGCAUCACUAAGAGAUGGACCUGCGUUGUAUUAGCUAGUAGGUGAGGUAACGGCUCACCUAGGCAACGAUACAUAGCCGACCUGAGAGGGUGAUCGGCCACACUGGGACUGAGACACGGCCCAGACUCCUACGGGAGGCAGCAGUAGGAAAUCUUCGGCAAUGGGGGGAACCCUGACCGAGCAAUGCCGCGUGAGUGAAGAAGGUUUUCGGAUCGUAAAGCUCUGUUGUAAGAGAAGAACGAGUGUGAGAGUGGAAAGUUCACACUGUGACGGUAACUUACCAGAAAGGGACGGCUAACUACGUGCCAGCAGCCGCGGUAAUACGUAGGUCCCGAGCGUUGUCCGGAUUUAUUGGGCGUAAAGCGAGCGCAGGCGGUUAGAUAAGUCUGAAGUUAAAGGCUGUGGCUUAACCAUAGUACGCUUUGGAAACUGUUUAACUUGAGUGCAGAAGGGGAGAGUGGAAUUCCAUGUGUAGCGGUGAAAUGCGUAGAUAUAUGGAGGAACACCGGUGGCGAAAGCGGCUCUCUGGUCUGUAACUGACGCUGAGGCUCGAAAGUGUGGGGAG
This 784-nucleotide ribosomal RNA is filed under the name uncultured bacterium. RNAcentral's name for it is "bacterial SSU rRNA". It matches the Rfam family "Bacterial small subunit ribosomal RNA", at positions 9 to 768 of the family's 1533-position model. The record is from RNAcentral.